This 250-nucleotide ribosomal RNA is filed under the name uncultured bacterium. RNAcentral's name for it is "partial 16S ribosomal RNA". It matches the Rfam family "Bacterial small subunit ribosomal RNA", at positions 29 to 258 of the family's 1533-position model. The record is from RNAcentral.
AAUGAACGCUGGCGGCGUGGUUAAGACAUGCAAGUCGAACGGUUUUUAUUGAAGGGCAACCGGAUAUAAAAGCAGUGGCGAACGGGUGCGUAACACGUGAACAAUCUACCUUUAAGUGGGGAAUAGCUCGCCGAAAGGCGAAUUAAUACCGCAUGUGGUCGGGACUCGCAUGAGUCUUGAACUAAAGUCAGGGACCGCAAGGCCUGACGCUUAUAGAGGAGUUCGCGGCCUAUCAGCUAGUUGGCGAGGU